This 433-nucleotide ribosomal RNA is filed under the name uncultured bacterium. Its description in RNAcentral is "partial 16S ribosomal RNA". It matches the Rfam family "Bacterial small subunit ribosomal RNA", at positions 29 to 507 of the family's 1533-position model. The record is from RNAcentral.
AACGAACGCUGGCGGCAUGCCUAACACAUGCAAGUCGAACGAGACCUUCGGGUCUAGUGGCGCACAGGUGCGUAGCGCGUGGGAACCUGCCCUUAGGCUCGGAAUACCUCCCCGACAGGGGUGCUAAUACCGGGUAAUGUCUUCGGACCAAAGAUUUAUCGCCUUUGGGUGGGCCGGCGUUGGAUUAGCUUGUUGGUAGGGUAAAAGCCUACCACGGCGACGAUCCAUAGCUGGUCUGAGAGGAUGAGCAGCGACACUGGGACUGAGACACGGUCCAGACUCUUACGGGAGGCAGCAGUGGGUGAUCUUGGACUACGGGCGGAGGCAUGAUCCAGCAAUGCCGGGUGAGUGAUGAAGGCCUGAGAGUUGUAAAGCUCGUUUAUCCGGGAUGAUAAUGACAGUACCGGGAGAAUAAGCUCCGGCUAACUUCGUG